This 221-nucleotide unclassified non-coding RNA is filed under the name Cystofilobasidium macerans. RNAcentral's name for it is "partial internal transcribed spacer region". The stretch from base 1 to 46 matches the Rfam family "Eukaryotic small subunit ribosomal RNA", at positions 1786 to 1831 of the family's 1831-position model. The record is from RNAcentral. Lineage: Eukaryota; Fungi; Basidiomycota; Tremellomycetes; Cystofilobasidiales; Cystofilobasidiaceae.
AAGUCGUAACAAGGUUUCCGUAGGUGAACCUGCGGAAGGAUCACUAAAGUAAACGCCCUCCGGGGCUCUCUUUAUUCACACACCCCUGUGCACUUUGGUCACCUGCCGCGCUUCACUGCGUUAGUAGGUGUGUCUUUAUAAUUAUACCCAUAUACACAAGUCAUUGAAUGUAAAAUCGUUAUAAACUAAUAUAACUUUCAACAACGGAUCUCUUGGUUCUC